UACAGAGGUCUCAAGCGUUGUUCGGAUUCAUUGGGCGUAAAGGGUGCGUAGGUGGCGCCGUAAGUCAGGUGUGAAAUUUCGGAGCUUAACUCCGAAACUGCAUUUGAUACUGCGGUGCUUGAGGACUGGAGAGGAGACUGGAAUUUACGGUGUAGCAGUGAAAUGCGUAGAGAUCGUAAGGAAGACCAGUGGCGAGGGCGGGUCUCUGGACAGUUCCUGACACUGAGGCACGAAGGCCAGGGGAGCAAACGGG
RNAcentral lists this ribosomal RNA (253 nucleotides) under uncultured bacterium. RNAcentral describes it as "partial 16S ribosomal RNA". It matches the Rfam family "Bacterial small subunit ribosomal RNA", at positions 524 to 776 of the family's 1533-position model. The record is from RNAcentral.